This 86-nucleotide transfer RNA is filed under the name Nitrospinota bacterium. RNAcentral's name for it is "tRNA-Ser". The stretch from base 31 to 86 matches the Rfam family "tRNA". From Rfam's summary of the family: Transfer RNA (tRNA) molecules are approximately 80 nucleotides in length. Their secondary structure includes four short double-helical elements and three loops (D, anti-codon, and T loops). Lineage: Bacteria; Pseudomonadati; Nitrospinota. The record is from RNAcentral.
AGACCCAGAGUCGAUCAAGCGGUUAAUAUUAGUUUUGUGUCCGGCCUCUCACGCCGGAAACAGGGGUUCGAUUCCCCUUGGGGCUA